UCGAACGGUAAGGCCCUUCGGGGUACACGAGUGGCGAACGGGUGAGUAACACGUGGGUGAUCUGCCCUGCACUUCGGGAUAAGCCCGGGAAACUGGGUCUAAUACCGGAUAGGACUGCGCGGUGCAUGCCGUGUGGUGGAAAGAUUUAUCGGUGCAGGAUGGGCCCGCGGCCUAUCAGCUUGUUGGUGGGGUAAUGGCCUACCAAGGCGACGACGGGUAGCCGGCCUGAGAGGGCGACCGGCCACACUGGGACUGAGACACGGCCCAGACUCCUACGGGAGGCAGCAGUGGGGAAUAUUGCACAAUGGGCGCAAGCCUGAUGCAGCGACGCCGCGUGAGGGAUGACGGCCUUCGGGUUGUAAACCUCUUUCAGCAGGGACGAAGCGCAAGUGACGGUACCUGCAGAAGAAGCACCGGCCAACUACGUGCCAGCAGCCGCGGUAAUACGUAGGGUGCAAGCGUUGUCCGGAAUUACUGGGCGUAAAGAGCUCGUAGGCGGUUUGUCGCGUCGUCUGUGAAAACCAGCAGCUCAACUGUUGGCUUGCAGGCGAUACGGGCAGACUUGAGUAUUUCAGGGGAGACUGGAAUUCCUGGUGUAGCGGUGAAAUGCGCAGAUAUCAGGAGGAACACCGGUGGCGAAGGCGGGUCUCUGGGAAAUAACUGACGCUGAG
This 671-nucleotide ribosomal RNA is filed under the name Rhodococcus sp. UAPS0132. RNAcentral describes it as "bacterial SSU rRNA". It matches the Rfam family "Bacterial small subunit ribosomal RNA", at positions 62 to 750 of the family's 1533-position model. Lineage: Bacteria; Bacillati; Actinomycetota; Actinomycetes; Mycobacteriales; Nocardiaceae. The record is from RNAcentral.